GAUGAAGAAGCAGCAAAAUGCGAUAAGUAAUGUGAAUUGCAGAAUUCAGUGAAUCAUCGAAUCUUUGAACGCACAUUGCGCCCGCUGGUAUUCCGGCGGGCAUGCCUGUUCGAGCGUCAUUUCAACCCUCAAGCCCCCGGGUUUGGUGUUGGGGAUCGGCUCUGCCCUUCUGGGCGGUGCCGCCCCCGAAAUACAUUGGCGGUCUCGCUGCAGCCUCCAUUGCGUAGUAGCUAACACCUCGCAACUGGAACGCGGCGCGGCCAUGCCGUAAAACCCCAACUUCUGAAUGUUGACCUCGGAUCAGGUAGGAAUACCCGCUGAACUUAAGCAUAUCAAUAAGCGGAGGA
This 347-nucleotide unclassified non-coding RNA is filed under the name soil metagenome. Its description in RNAcentral is "partial contains 5.8S ribosomal RNA, internal transcribed spacer 2, and large subunit ribosomal RNA". The stretch from base 1 to 119 matches the Rfam family "5.8S ribosomal RNA", at positions 35 to 154 of the family's 154-position model. The record is from RNAcentral.